This 87-nucleotide transfer RNA is filed under the name Gemmatimonadota bacterium. Its description in RNAcentral is "Gemmatimonadetes bacterium (sediment metagenome) tRNA-Leu". It matches the Rfam family "tRNA". Rfam says of the family: Transfer RNA (tRNA) molecules are approximately 80 nucleotides in length. Their secondary structure includes four short double-helical elements and three loops (D, anti-codon, and T loops). The record is from RNAcentral. Lineage: Bacteria; Pseudomonadati; Gemmatimonadota.
ACCCGGGUGGCGGAACGGGCAGACGCGGGCGACUUAAAAUCGCCUGCCGGCAACGGCAUGUGGGUUCGAGUCCCACCCCGGGUACCU